Molecule: ribosomal RNA, 506 nt
Filed under: Alternaria alternata
Lineage: Eukaryota; Fungi; Ascomycota; Dothideomycetes; Pleosporales; Pleosporaceae
Description: eukaryotic LSU rRNA
Rfam family: 5.8S ribosomal RNA (bases 161-314)
Source: RNAcentral
AUAUGAAGGCGGGCUGGAACCUCUCGGGGUUACAGCCUUGCUGAAUUAUUCACCCUUUUGUCUUGCGUACUUCUUGUUUCCUUGGUGGGUUCGCCCACCACUAGGACAAACAUAAACCUUUUGUAAUUGCAAUCAGCGUCAGUAACAAAUUAAUAAUUACAACUUUCAACAACGGAUCUCUUGGUUCUGGCAUCGAUGAAGAACGCAGCGAAAUGCGAUAAGUAGUGUGAAUUGCAGAAUUCAGUGAAUCAUCGAAUCUUUGAACGCACAUUGCGCCCUUUGGUAUUCCAAAGGGCAUGCCUGUUCGAGCGUCAUUUGUACCCUCAAGCUUUGCUUGGUGUUGGGCGUCUUGUCUCUAGCUUUGCUGGAGACUCGCCUUAAAGUAAUUGGCAGCCGGCCUACUGGUUUCGGAGCGCAGCACAAGUCGCACUCUCUAUCAGCAAAGGUCUAGCAUCCAUUAAGCCUUUUUUUCAACUUUUGACCUCGGAUCAGGUAGGGAUACCCGC